CCCUUAGAUGUUCUGGGCCGCACGCGCGCUACACUGAUGCAUUCAACGAGCCUAUCCUUGACCGACAGGUCCGGGUAAUCUUUGAAUCUGCAUCGUGACGGGGAUAGAUUAUUGCAAUUAUUAAUCUUCAACGAGGAAUGCCUAGUAGGCGCAAGUCAUCAGCUUGCGUCGAUUACGUCCCUGCCCUUUGUACACACCGCCCGUCGCUCCUACCGAUUGGGUGUGCUGGUGAAAUGUUCGGAUCGGCCGUUCGUCGCGGUUUCCGCGGCUCGUGGCUGAGAAGUUCAUUAAACCCUCCCACCUAGAGGAAGGAGAAGUCGUAACA
RNAcentral lists this ribosomal RNA (325 nucleotides) under uncultured eukaryote. Its description in RNAcentral is "partial 18S ribosomal RNA". It matches the Rfam family "Eukaryotic small subunit ribosomal RNA", at positions 1470 to 1796 of the family's 1831-position model. The record is from RNAcentral.